This 786-nucleotide non-coding RNA is filed under the name Amynthas yunoshimensis. The record is from RNAcentral. Lineage: Eukaryota; Metazoa; Annelida; Clitellata; Crassiclitellata; Megascolecidae.
ACCAGUUUGAUUCUGACUGAAAAAUUAACUUCUACCAACCAACAUACAUGUAAAAUAUUUAACGCCCGACUCAAAUUAUUUCUAAAUGAUUUAAUAAAUGUAUAAAGACAUUCUCAAUACAGUAAAGCGCCACAGUAGAUAACACUUUUCAAUUUGAGAAAUCAAGAAAAGAGUGUGGUAUAAGGGCUGGCAAAAUUCGUGCCAGCUGCCGCGGUUAGACGAUAAGCCCAAGUUAAUAUAAUAUAAACUAAUUAAUGAUAAAUUAAAUAACAAUAAAAGUCUAAUUUUUAAAGUUCUUGACUCGCAUUUAUCAAUAAAUAAUGAAAUCGUGAACUAAAACAUGGAUUAGAUACCCAUUUAUUCACGACAUAAAUUAACAGUUGAAUAUUACGAACAACAGUUUAAAAUUCAAAGAUUUUGGCGGUGUCUUAUAAAACCAGGGGAACCUGUCUCAUAACUCGAUAAUCCACGUAUACUCAACCUUCUUUAGAUCGCAGCAUGUGUACUGCCGUUGUAGGCAUACCUUUAAAAGUAAGUAUGCUGCCAUGACUAAACUCCACGCACAUCAGGUCAAAGUGCAGCUAAUAAGAAGGAGAUGAUGGGUUACAACCCCAAAUAAGAUAAUCAACUAAGAAAUAAAAAAUCUUACGAAAGUGGACUUGGCUGUAAUUAAUUUACAAGUUAAAGAAAUGAAUAAAACUCUAAGACAUGCACACAUCGCCCGUCACUCUACCCUAAAGGGUAGAUAAGUCGUAACAAAGUAGAUGUAAUGGAAAUUGCACCUGU